This 372-nucleotide ribosomal RNA is filed under the name uncultured organism. Its description in RNAcentral is "partial 16S ribosomal RNA". It matches the Rfam family "Bacterial small subunit ribosomal RNA", at positions 527 to 896 of the family's 1533-position model. The record is from RNAcentral.
GUAGGUGGCAAGCGUUGUCCGGAAUUAUUGGGCGUAAGGCGCGCGCAGGCGGUUCUUUAAGUCUGAUGUGAAAGCCCACGGCUCAACCGUGGAGGGUCAUUGGAAACUGGAGAACUUGAGUACAGAAGAGGAAAGCGGAAUUCCACGUGUAGCGGUGAAAUGCGUAGAGAUGUGGAGGAACACCAGUGGCGAAGGCGGCUUUCUGGUCUGUAACUGACGCUGAGGCGCGAAAGCGUGGGGAGCAAACAGGGAUUAGAUACCCUGGUAGUCCACGCCGUAAACGAUGAGUGCUAAGUGUUAGGGGGGUUUCCGCCCCCGUUAGUGCUGCAGCUAACGCAUUAAGCACUCCGCUGGGGAGUACGCGCAAGGCUG